UGCCUAAUACAUGCAAGUCGAGCGAGCUUGCCUAGAUGAUUUUAGUGCUUGCACUAAAUGAAACUAGAUACAAGCGAGCGGCGGACGGGUGAGUAACACGUGGGUAACCUGCCCAAGAGACUGGGAUAACACCUGGAAACAGAUGCUAAUACCGGAUAACAACACUAGACGCAUGUCUAGAGUUUGAAAGAUGGUUCUGCUAUCACUCUUGGAUGGACCUGCGGUGCAUUAGCUAGUUGGUAAGGUAACGGCUUACCAAGGCAAUGAUGCAUAGCCGAGUUGAGAGACUGAUCGGCCACAUUGGGACUGAGACACGGCCCAAACUCCUACGGGAGGCAGCAGUAGGGAAUCUUCCACAAUGGACGAAAGUCUGAUGGAGCAACGCCGCGUGAGUGAAGAAGGGUUUCGGCUCGUAAAGCUCUGUUGGUAGUGAAGAAAGAUAGAGGUAGUAACUGGCCUUUAUUUGACGGUAAUUACUUAGAAAGUCACGGCUAACUACGUGCCAGCAGCCGCGGUAAUACGUAGGUGGCAAGCGUUGUCCGGAUUUAUUGGGCGUAAAGCGAGUGCAGGCGGUUCAAUAAGUCUGAUGUGAAAGCCUUCGGCUCAACCGGAGAAUUGCAUCAGAAACUGUUGAACUUGAGUGCAGAAGAGGAGAGUGGA
This 660-nucleotide ribosomal RNA is filed under the name Lactobacillus gasseri. Its description in RNAcentral is "bacterial SSU rRNA". It matches the Rfam family "Bacterial small subunit ribosomal RNA", at positions 45 to 665 of the family's 1533-position model. The record is from RNAcentral. Lineage: Bacteria; Bacillati; Bacillota; Bacilli; Lactobacillales; Lactobacillaceae.